AAGUCGUAACAAGGUUUCCGUAGGUGAACCUGCGGAAGGAUCAUUAACACGUAUCCAAACGUUAAAACCCCCCCCGUGAACCUUCAUCCUGCUCUUGUAACCCGCGUAGUUCGCAAUCUCUGAUAAAUCAUAGCCCGGAAAGUUGUAGUGAUUCAGAGACCUCUGGCUACGUGCGAACAUUGGAACAGUUACAAUCGAGCGGUAGUUCUAUAGGCAAUGUUUCCCCAAGCAGUCAGUGUCCGAAAGUGUCAUUGAUUGUGCAAAGAUAGCGCUUCUACGAUUCCUGUAGACCGUACAUAACCCCACAGUUUAAUGUGAAGCUCAAUGUAAUACAUUGGGUAAAAAAACCGAACAACUGUUAACAAUAGAUAUCUUGGUUCUC
This 382-nucleotide unclassified non-coding RNA is filed under the name fungal sp. Its description in RNAcentral is "partial internal transcribed spacer region". The stretch from base 1 to 46 matches the Rfam family "Eukaryotic small subunit ribosomal RNA", at positions 1786 to 1831 of the family's 1831-position model. Lineage: Eukaryota; Fungi. The record is from RNAcentral.